AUCCAGCUGACGAGUCUCAAAUAGGACGAAACGUGCGUCCUACCU
Schistosoma margrebowiei is the source of this 45-nucleotide non-coding RNA. The record is from Rfam. NCBI's taxonomy places the organism in Eukaryota, Metazoa, Platyhelminthes, Trematoda, Strigeidida, Schistosomatidae.